RNAcentral lists this long non-coding RNA (224 nucleotides) under Brachypodium distachyon (stiff brome). Its description in RNAcentral is "long non-coding RNA (BDIS_LNC005397)". Lineage: Eukaryota; Viridiplantae; Streptophyta; Magnoliopsida; Poales; Poaceae. The record is from RNAcentral.
AGCAUCUCCUUGUCUGCAAGUAAUAGGCAACAAGCUUAUCAUUGGUUUUCCUCCAUGCAUCAAAAUUAUCUUUGUGAUACCAUUCUCGAGUGGAAAUUUGGGUUGAGCUUGAGCUUAGGCACAACAAGGGUUUACAUUUGGCUGAGUUCCUGAGAAGUGAUUUUCAUUCAUAUGUGCUGGGAGGCGGUUGCAAUUUAGCUGCAACUUCUGUACAGCCGAACUGU